UUAGGGUUGUAAACUGCUUUUGUACGGAACGAAACGGCUCCUCCUAAUACGAGGGGCUAAUGACGGUACCGUAAGAAUAAGCACCGGCUAACUACGUGCCAGCAGCCGCGGUAAUACGUAGGGUGCGAGCGUUAAUCGGAAUUACUGGGCGUAAAGCGUGCGCAGGCGGUUAUAUAAGACAGAUGUGAAAUCCCCGGGCUCAACCUGGGACCUGCAUUUGUGACUGUAUAGCUAGAGUACGGUAGAGGGGGAUGGAAUUCCGCGUGUAGCAGUGAAAUGCGUAGAUAUGCGGAGGAACACCGAUGGCGAAGGCAAUCCCCUGGACCUGUACUGACGCUCAUGCACGAAAGCGUGGGGAGCAAACAGGAUUAGAUACCCUGGUAGUCCACGCCCUAAACGAUGUCAACUGGUUGUUGGGUCUUCACUGACUCAGUAACGAAGCUAACGCGUGA
Molecule: ribosomal RNA, 452 nt
Filed under: bacterium
Lineage: Bacteria
Description: bacterial SSU rRNA
Rfam family: Bacterial small subunit ribosomal RNA
Source: RNAcentral